This 229-nucleotide ribosomal RNA is filed under the name uncultured bacterium. RNAcentral describes it as "partial 16S ribosomal RNA". It matches the Rfam family "Bacterial small subunit ribosomal RNA", at positions 568 to 796 of the family's 1533-position model. The record is from RNAcentral.
UAUGUAGGCGGGUAAUUAAGUCAGAGGUGAAAUCCCACAGCUUAACUGUGGAACUGCCUUAGAUACUGGUUAUCUUGAGUUUUAGUGAAGUAGAUAGAAUGUGUAGUGUAGCGGUGAAAUGCAUAGAUAUUACACAGAAUACCGAUUGCGAAGGCAGUCUACUAACUAACAACUGACGCUAAUGGACGAAAGCGUGGGGAGCGAACAGGAUUAGAUACCCUGGUAGUCC